UACGAAGGGGGCUAGCGUUGCUCGGAAUCACUGGGCGUAAAGGGUGCGUAGGCGGGUCUUUAAGUCAGGGGUGAAAUCCUGGAGCUCAACUCCAGAACUGCCUUUGAUACUGAAGAUCUUGAGUUCGGGAGAGGUGAGUGGAACUGCGAGUGUAGAGGUGAAAUUCGUAGAUAUUCGCAAGAACGCCAGUGGCGAAGGCGGCUCACUGGCCCGAUACUGACGCUGAUGCACGAAAGCGUGGGGAGCAAACAGG
Molecule: ribosomal RNA, 253 nt
Filed under: uncultured bacterium
Lineage: Bacteria
Description: partial 16S ribosomal RNA
Rfam family: Bacterial small subunit ribosomal RNA
Source: RNAcentral